RNAcentral lists this unclassified non-coding RNA (4299 nucleotides) under Hevea brasiliensis (rubber tree). The record is from RNAcentral. Lineage: Eukaryota; Viridiplantae; Streptophyta; Magnoliopsida; Malpighiales; Euphorbiaceae.
AUAAAAUGGUAAUUAAAAAAAAAACCCUAAAAGUUAAAACUGCACAGCUCUAUACUAUUUUCCUCCUAUGCUUAAAAUUGAAAGUACGUUUUGAACUGCGAGAACUCACCUCCCUUUCAACUGGGUGGUUCAGAAAUCGCCACGAGGCCUGUCCAGUUCCAUUCUUAUGUAAAUAAUAUUAUAUUUUGCAGGUAGGAAGUGAAGGUAGAUACUUGAGACCCCAGAGAAGAUGUCAUGAGAGCUGCUAUUUCUAUAUGGCCAACAUUAUCAAAUAUCAAGAAAACCAGUACUGGUCCUACCUUCCAAUUUCAAUGGAUCCUCCAGUCUCCAAUCUCGAUUAACAAUGGACCACCCAGAAAGGCCAGUGAGGGCUUCAUCACUUAAACUGGAAAUGCUGCCACUUUUGAGACCCAAAACAAUUAGGGACAGAAAAUCUGCGUCAGCGGCCAUAGCAGCAGCCGCAGCAGGAGGAGGAGGAGUGCCUCUGCCACCACUUGAUUUAACAGAAGACAACAUUAGACAGGUCAUAGCUGAUGCUAGAGUCGAGGAAAGAAUCGUUUCUUGGACGCUAGUUUUACGAUAGUUAACUACUGAAUUCUUUCCUUGAUCAAAGAUUAUACACUUCACUGCAACUAUGCUUUAGUUUGAAGUCUGUCUGAAACAAGGCGUGUACAUUUGCACUUUGGACAGCUUUUUGACACUUCAGUUGGCAUGACAGGACAAGCUGAGCUUGCUGAAUUGGAUGGACCCUUUGUGAAGAUAAGCCUCAAAGGUCGAUUUUGGCAUAAACGUUCCACAGUUCUUGCGAGACUUGGCAAUUAUUUGAAGCAAAGAAUCCCUGAAAUUUUGGAGGUAGAUAUAGAAGACGAGAAACAAUUGGAUGAUAGCCCUGAGAAUUUUUGAGGUACUUGGUGUUGUCAGUAUCAGUGUUAUGCUUUGAUUAUUGUUUCAAAACGAGCAAUUUGAAGUGCCCAAAGCAACACUGUGGCCUUCAAGCAAGAUUGCUGGAAAAAAAAAGAGAGCAAAUUUGAAGUGCUUUCUUACAUGGACUCUGCAAAAAUGUCAAUGAGUUGUACUGUCAUAUGGUGGAAAUCAUACACAAACUUAUGGAGUACAAAAUUGAGCCAUCUACAUCAAAUGGGGUGAUAUGUGACAUAUUCAUUCUGGAAGUGUAAUACAAGCAAGGAAUCCACCAUAGAUCGCGUUAUGGAAAUUAUCCUGCACAUAUUCUUGUUAAGGUCUUGUUUGGUUUAAAUUGUUUAUUAUUUUUAGAAAGUUCACUUUUCACAAAUUUAUUAUCAUAUAUCUAUUUUUUUUUUAUUUUAAUGGGUGUGAAAUUUUUAAAUGGAAUCACAACUGAAAUCACAAAUAUAUAUCCAAAAUUUAAAAUACAUAAAAAAAAAAUCAGCAUGAAACUAAGGUGGAAAAGUUACAAAAUUCUCCAUUAGAAAAGAAAAAAGCCACCUAUCUUUUUAGGAGUAAAGGUUAUUUCAUUUUAAUUUUUUAAAAGGAGAUCAAUAAAUCUGCCCAAUCAUUGAUUUACUUUUACCAAUAAAUUUUAAUAAGAUUAUAUUUUGUUACAUUUAAUAUAACUUAAUUGGAAAUAAUUUAUGUUGACAUUUUCAGAACAUCAAAAGAAAGAAAGAAAGAAACCUAAAUAUAUCCUAUUAAUAACGAAAACGCCAGCUCCUGGCCCCAACAAGUUGAAGUAUGAUAGGGAAGAAUAUAGGGGAAGAGCCGGAGAGGAUAGCCUCAACCUCAAGCAUGGAAACGAGACCCAAUUCCAUAGAAGACUGGCCUUCGAGAGCAUGGAACCUACUCUCGAAACUCCGGGACCAAUCACCGCUUGUUCAGUGCAUCACCAACUUCGUUUCUAUGGAUUUGAUGGCCAACACUCUCCUAUCUGCUGGUGCAUCCCCGGCUAUGAUCCACUCCAUUGAAGAAAUUCCCGACUUCACCCCUCAUGCUCGUUCCCUCUGUAUCAACGUUGGCACUCUUUCCUCUGACUGGCUACCAGCCAUGAAAGCAGCCGUGGUGUUGGCCAAUAAAUUCGGGAAGCCUUGGGUUCUUGACCCCGUUGCAGCCGGAGCUUCCGGUUUCCGGUUGAACGCUUGUUUAGAGCUAGUGUGUAUGAAGCCCACCGUCAUUAGGGGAAAUGGGUCAGAGAUCAUCGCGUUAUCUAAGGCUUCUCUGGGCGACUCCAAGGUAUUUACUGUUUGAUAUCUGAUAUUUGCACUUACGAUUGUAUAGAUAUUAGGCAGCAGUAGCACUUAUAAGUGGGAUUCUUGCAAUUGUUCUCUAGGCUUCUAGCUUGUUAUAUGUUCAAUUUCAUAAAUGGCUUUCGUGUUUAAGGGUGUAGACAGCUUCCAUGAGUCAAUGGAUGCAGUGGAGGCAGCAAAGUCUUUGGCUAAAGCAAGUGGUGCCAUAGUUGCCGUUUCAGGUGCUGUUGAUAUCAUCACAGACUGAAGCCGAGUUGUUGGUGCUUAUAAUGGGUUACCCAUGAUGCAGAAAAUCACAGCAACAGGAUGUGCAGUCACAGCCCUCAUUGCAGCUUUUGUUGCGGUUGAUCCAUUACAUGCUUUGGAAGCAACAGCUUCAGCAUUGUCCAUACUUGGUAUUGCUGGUGAAUUGGGAAUGGACAUGGCCAAAGGACCAGCUUCACUGCGGAUGCACUUGAUUGAUUCCCUUUAUGGGCUUGAUCAAGCUGUUAGGCUUUCGCGUACUAAGAUUACCAGCUUGUAGUGACUAAUGAUCUAGUAGGAGCUGUGUACAAAUGGUAUGCCAACAACUAAUCUACUUUAUUUGUGUGUAGUGGUCAAAUUUUGAGGGGAUACGACUGAUCAAUCCAAAUAACCAAAUGAUCUAUUUGAUCAGAUAGUACUCGUUAAGCAAGUGAUGAUAUGAUGUGAUCAAUCCAUACCAUUUUGCAUCUUCGGUUUUUCAUCACACAUAAGUUUGUUCCAGAAAAAACUGAUUUUUUUUUUCUUUGCCAAGAACUUUUAUGAUAUCAGUUUUCCAAUCUAGAUUUCCCAUCAAAUUUAACUUUUUCCUCAUUUCUUGAAAUGAUUUUGUUUUCUGCUUACAAAGAAGAGUCUGUGCGUGAUGUUCUUCCUUGUGAAAAUAAAAAAGCAGCCAGCCAUUUGCUAUAUUCCAUUACCAGUUCUAUUGGAAACAUCUAAUACAUCUGGCAUCACAAUAGACUCAUUAACAAACAGAAAUUUGCAAACCUUGACCACACUCAUUUUGACACGAACAAUCCCACAUUUAAUCAGUUAUAUAACAUUCUUAGUAUUUUAGAUGGACAAUUAUCCUCAGUAAUGUUUCUGCACCAUCUGUGGUACGCUGGCCAGAUGGAAUGAGUCCUCUCACCUCCGCAAUUCCAACAGCAUUCUUAUACUUGCCUGUUCCUCCAGUCACUGACAAAUGUGACAUUGCACUCCCAAUCUUAUAUACGCCAUAGAAGUUGAGGCUGUCCCCAAAUUCUCCUCCUUCAAAGAUAGCUGUAAAUGCCAUCAUCUGUGUGCUCCCAUCUGCAGAACUAGCAAUGUAGACUCCUUGAGCUUUUCCCAAUUGCUGCGAACCAAGCUCAGGGCUGGUUGUCAAGACAUCGUCAAUGACAGUGAUCGUUCCAAAGCCUAGUCCCAACCCGUCAGGUCCCAGCUGGGUUUGAACUUGACCAUUUUGUCCUGCAAAAGCUGUACCAGCCAAGCCAGUUCCUAGUGGAAUGCCAUUGAUACCAUUAACAGUUGGAAUAGCGCCAUUGGCAUUAGGGAUUGCUACUGCACCUUCUGGGGGAAUAAAUCCUACUGGCUUGGCAAAGGGUACUUGGCCACUAUAAAUGUUUCCCAGCAAGCCGGUGAUUGGCCUGGCAGUGGGGUUACUGCCCCCAAGAAUGUCAUGCAUGUACAACUCAAGAACAGGCUCCUCACCAGCUGGUGCAGGGUCAGUAGCAGCCAAAUAUGUUGCCAUGUUUAUGGUAGCAAUCAGCACUGCAAUGAAAAUAGAUGGUGAUGGUUGGUUGAACAUCCUGUGAUUUCUGUAUUAGAGGUUCUUGAGGAUCCGCAACACCUGGAGAAUGAAAGAUCUUUAGAUGAGCAUGCAAGUGGCUGUGCACCUUGCUCUUUAUAUAGAAGUCAAGGAAGAACAAAGAUGGAGUAGGUGUGAGACUAUAAAGGCGGUGAAGUUGUUGGAGUUGCAUUAGUUAUGGAAAGUCUAAAUCAUUAUGUUAGGGGGAUAUCAUGGAGGAGUGGAGUCUGAUGUAUGAUACGUUUUGCCAAUUUCGUCAAAAUUUAACCAAUC